UAUUCUUCAUGAUCCUUGGUUCAAUAAGGACACAGGAUUCCCAAUGACAGAAAGAGAUCGAUUGGGUCUGCGCGGUCUCCUCCCACCUCGUGUAAUAUCAUUUGAACAGCAAUAUGACCGCUUCAUGGAGUCAUUUCGGUCACUUGAGAAAAAUACUGAGGGUCAACCAGAAAGUGUUGUCUCGUUAGCAAAAUGGAGGAUCUUAAACAGGCUGCAUGACAGGAAUGAGACACUGUACUACCGAGUUCUAAUUGACAAUAUCAAAGAUUUUGCUCCCAUAAUAUACACUCCAACAGUAGGAUUGGUUUGCCAAAACUACUCUGGCUUGUUUAGACGUCCACGUGGCAUGUAUUUCAGUGCCAAAGAUAAGGGAGAGAUGAUGUCAAUGAUCUUCAACUGGCCUUCCACUCAGGUAGACAUGAUUGUCCUGACAGAUGGAAGUCGUAUUCUUGG
RNAcentral lists this unclassified non-coding RNA (453 nucleotides) under Hevea brasiliensis (rubber tree). Lineage: Eukaryota; Viridiplantae; Streptophyta; Magnoliopsida; Malpighiales; Euphorbiaceae. The record is from RNAcentral.